This 459-nucleotide ribosomal RNA is filed under the name uncultured bacterium. RNAcentral describes it as "partial 16S ribosomal RNA". It matches the Rfam family "Bacterial small subunit ribosomal RNA", at positions 338 to 795 of the family's 1533-position model. The record is from RNAcentral.
CCUACGGGAGGCUGCAGUGAGGAAUAUUGGUCAAUGGCCGCAGGGCUGAACCAGCCAAGUCGCGGGAGGGAUGACGGUCCGAUGGAGGGUAAACCGCAGUUGUCAGGGAGCAAAGGGCGCCACGUGUGGCGUUUUGCGAGUACCUGACGAAAAAGCAUCGGCUAACUCCGUGCCAGCAGCCGCGGUAAUACGGAGGAUGCGAGCGUUAUCCGGAUUUAUUGGGUUAAAAGGGUGCGCAGGCGGAAUGUCAAGUCAGCGGUAAAAUUUCGGGGCUCAACCCCGUCGUGCCGUUGAAACUGGCGUUCCUGAGUGAGCGAGAGGUAUGCGGAAUGCGUGUUGUAGCGGUGAAAUGCAUAGAUAUCACGCAGAACUCCGAUUGCGAAGGCAGCAUACCGGCGCUCAACUGACGCUCAUGCACGAAAGCGUGGGUAUCGAACAGGAUUAGAUACCCGUGUAGUC